AUAUUUUAACUAUCUCACAUUAGGUGUUGGGAUUAGAGGAAACUAGGAGUAAAGUACACUGCAAUCUUUUUGGUUUUUGUAGACAUGUAAAUUGCUUCAAAGAGAAGUGUAGGAGGAACUGACUGGAGGCAGCGGACAAAGCGGUAUAAUUUAUCUGCGGUUUAGUCCAUCUCAUUUUUGGGCGGAUAAUAAACCGCUGCGGACCAAAUUUAUUUGUAUGUAAAAACCGCUGCGGUUUUUUCUAUUUUUUUUGGUCCGGACCACUGCGGACUAUAAUUGAUGAAUGGUAAAUAAAAAACGGUCUGAUCCGUUGACGUUUUGUCCGCCCCAACCGCCGUAACCAUUCAAACCCUUUGUUAAACGAUUAGUUUU
Molecule: small RNA, 372 nt
Filed under: Arabidopsis thaliana (thale cress)
Lineage: Eukaryota; Viridiplantae; Streptophyta; Magnoliopsida; Brassicales; Brassicaceae
Description: ATSL281400
Source: RNAcentral